GACAAUGGUCAUACCACCCUGGAUUCGCCCCAUCUCAUCUGAUCUCAGAAGCUAAGCUUGGUCAGGCCUGGUUAGUACUUGUAUGCAAGAGAUGCUUAUUG
This 101-nucleotide ribosomal RNA is filed under the name Sus scrofa (pig). Lineage: Eukaryota; Metazoa; Chordata; Mammalia; Artiodactyla; Suidae. The record is from RNAcentral.